Molecule: ribosomal RNA, 497 nt
Filed under: uncultured bacterium
Lineage: Bacteria
Description: partial 16S ribosomal RNA
Rfam family: Bacterial small subunit ribosomal RNA
Source: RNAcentral
GAUGAACGCUGGCGGCGUGCCUAAUACAUGCAAGUCGAGCGAACAGACGAGGAGCUUGCUCCUCUGACGUUAGCGGCGGACGGGUGAGUAACACGUGGAUAACCUACCUAUAAGACUGGGAUAACUUCGGGAAACCGGAGCUAAUACCGGAUAAUAUAUUGAACCGCAUGGUUCAAUAGUGAAAGACGGUUUUGCUGUCACUUAUAGAUGGAUCCGCGCCGCAUUAGCUAGUUGGUAAGGUAACGGCUUACCAAGGCAACGAUGCGUAGCCGACCUGAGAGGGUGAUCGGCCACCCUGGCACUGAGACACGGCCCAGACUCCUACGGGAGGCAGCAGUAGGGAAUCUUCCGCAAUGGGCGAAAGCCUGACGGAGCAACGCCGCGUGAGUGAUGAAGGUCUUCGGAUCGUAAAGCUCUGUUAUUAGGGAAGAACAAAUGUGUAAGUAACUAUGCACGUCUUGACGGUACCUAAUCAGAAAGCCACGGCUAACUACGUG